Ceratotherium simum simum (southern white rhinoceros) is the source of this 2417-nucleotide non-coding RNA. NCBI's taxonomy places the organism in Eukaryota, Metazoa, Chordata, Mammalia, Perissodactyla, Rhinocerotidae. The record is from RefSeq and is a predicted model, not a curated record.
GCUUUUCCCAAAGACCGGGAGAGGAUUUUAAGGACAUAGAUGGAAGCUUCUGGAGAUCCUGCUCCGUCGCCCCAGUGUUCAGACUACCUGUUCAGGACAAUGCCGUUGUACAGUAGUCUGCACAUUGGUUAGACUGGGCAAGGGAGAGCAGCGCCAUGGACAGCUGGAGACAAAGUUGCUGUUUCCAAGGAGAAGACAUUUGCUAGCUCCUUUUUCAAAUCUCAUAUCCAGUGUUUUUCUUCACAGGUUUUGCACACUAGGGACGAAGAAGCCCGCUCGGACACUGCUGAAACAGGACUGCUCCAGGGAAGACCUGCGGGGAACAUGGGAUCUAUUCCAGAGGAAACUAACCAACAGUGAACAUCUUCAACUAAAACUACCCCUGGAUAUGAUGGGAAGUGUUGCAUGCAUCAUUCCUUUAAUUGAGCAGUUAACUGGAUCAAAUUAUUUAUGGGAGAGAGAGGGAAAGCUAUACAGAAUUAUAGUAAUUUUUAAUUUCCACCAAUAUACUCUUUGUAAGUGAAUUACUCUAUAAAUGUUUUCUGUUGCAAUGAAUGCAGCAACAAUAACAAAAUAGUUUCUUAAGGUAUUUGUUUUUGCAUACUCUGACCUUGUAAUUAUUUAAAUAGCAGCCAAGUUUACUGAUGUUUUUGAUUCUGCCAAGAAAAAAAAAGUCCUCUACUCAGAAGUGAUGACCAGAAAUAGAAUCAGACAUUUAUUUUCUUGAAAUUAAAUAAAUAAAUGGAAAAUUGCACUUCUCUUUGUUAAAACUGUACCAUAUCUAAUCACUGCAUAAAAGUUCAGAUGCGUAGAAAACUGUCAUUUUUUUCUCAGUUUCUAAAAACUAUUUUACUCUCCAUAAAGUUUCUAUUUGCUAUUUUCUCAGAAUUUUACAAUUAAAGGGAAAAAACAAACUGUUUAUUUUCUUUAAAAUUCUUUUAAAAAAUUCCUAAGUACACACUCCUUGAAUAACGUUUUGUUUUGUUUUUUAAGAAAUCCCACUUAUUGGAAUUUUGACUGUCUGGAUAUUUUGUUUUUUAAAUGACAGGGGAAUUUGUUCAACACCUCUGCGGACGUGAAUUGAUCAUUUAUAUUCAAAUAGCCAGUAGAAUUAUUCUCGACUCAUCUGAAUUAAAUUUUUUAUCUGUAUAUUUAACACCAUUAACUCUUUCUUAUACAAAUUAUAAGGGAAUUUUCCAAAGGGUCUGGUUUUACUUUUUGGAUAUGAAAUGAAGUUUCCUUUUCUGUGUUUAAAGUUCUAUUUUGUAACUGUAUUGCACUAACAAUGUCCAAAACACGUUCUGCGCAUCACCAUGGGUAUCGACUUCUUAGUGUAUACCCUUUACAUUCAUGGCACGGCCCUGGAGUUAAUUAAGAGGAAAACUUAGGCUCACAACUGCUUUUUAUUUGGUUUUCACAUCCAUACUUAAAAACUUUGCAUUAAAAAGAAUAUGAGAAAUUUAAACUCCUGUUGCUUAAUAAAGUAUUGGUAAAAAUACAUCCCCUUGUAAAAUCCCACUAUCAAAGCAUCAGAUACCAGUGUCAGCUGGUUGAAUUGCCAAAUACAUUAGGCUCAUUAAUUAUUUUGAAAAUGGCUGCCGUUUCCAUGUAAAUGACAACUUGCUUUUUCAUGGGCAAGGUUAUGGUACUUAUCUACUACAAGAAACAUGUAUAAACAUAGUCUUUAUCUUUAACUUCAGUUUUAAAAUAUGCAGAGUUUCGUGAAGAGGAAAAACAUCUGGUUCAAUUACUCUGAACUCUGACUGCAUGUGGGCCAGUAAUAACACGAAUUGGAUUUAAGAAUAAACCUUGUGUUUAAUCUUUUUUUGUUUUUUCCUUAAACUUUCAAUGUGAGUUUUCUGUUACAUCAGUUAUCCCUGUUAGCACAUUUGGAACAAAUGUAUAAGUGUACUUUCUGAAUAAAGUCAAAAGUCUAACUUGUUUUUAGUUCCAUAAUGUUUUAAUGUUUAAUUCUAUUGUGUGUUUUUCUCCCUUUCCCCUAACCCUCCAAAAUCACCAAAUCUGGAAAACAGACUGAUUCUAUCUGCCCAUGAGCAAAGGAAACCCGAAGGAACCAAGGGCCUGGCUGGACGGAGUUGUCAUGUGUCUGCCUGUCUACACUUGCUGUGCAGAACAUCCGCUCACCUGUACAGCAGGCACAGACAGGCAGUCACAUGACAACCCAGCCUGAAUGACAACCAGCCAUUGAAAGAAAGCAGCCCUCACACCAUAGCAUCUACACCAAGAGCUACAACCAAAAUGAGGGGCGCGGGGGCCUGGGGUUUUAAUCUGUUGGUUUAAUACUUAACUCGUAUGUAUUAUUAUUAUUAUUUUAUUUUGAUUCAAAUAUUGAAACCCACCAAAAUUAAAGUGAGUGGUGCCUAUGAAAUAUAAUAAAACCCAUUUCUGAAAAUGUU